This 795-nucleotide long non-coding RNA is filed under the name Rhinopithecus bieti (black snub-nosed monkey). RNAcentral's name for it is "lncRNA (ENSRBIG00000046503.1)". Lineage: Eukaryota; Metazoa; Chordata; Mammalia; Primates; Cercopithecidae. The record is from RNAcentral.
GCAAUCUUUCAUGAGCUGGACAAUUGUCCCCUGUGUGAGGCAGUGAAGUCUGGCUAGCACCCUGCACAUAGGAAUAUCAAGGCCCCUUUUCCCUUUCUUGCUUUGCCUCCUCAACCACACUCUCCCCUUUGUAGCAUCUGUGUCACUAAGGAAACCAUGGUAACAUCAGUGCCUCUGCUGAGCAUGGUGACCACUCAAAAGAGGGAGAGUGAGUUCAGCCUAUCAUUUGAGAUCCGAGCUGUUGAAUUCAUCUGUCUGUGGAAUAAUUAUACCAACCACAUGGUUAGACAGAAGGAAUACAAUAUAUUGCUUAAUUUGUAUCUACAAAGCUAAGCAACAUGGAAAAAAAAAAAAACAAGCCUGCUCAGUCACUUCCAUGAGGAUAAAUGAAGACACUUCAAGGAGGCCAUUGACAUGGAUCUGCCAGCUUUCUAAGCCUUUCCCAGAUUUAAGCCCAGUCACAUCAAGUUGCCGUAUUAAAGGGUCUGCCCACUCAAAAGGAGAAAGUGCAAAAGAUGCUCAGCAAGGGUACCAAACGCAGUCAGAUGAUGCUCCCUGACAGCAUCCGAGAGCAAGCCUCACCACCACCUCUGUUAAUAAAAAAGAAAACGAGGAGUCGCCAAUUUGUCUAUUUAAAGAUGCCAAUAAAAUCCUGCACAGAACUUUAGUCAACAAGACUAUUUCAGAAGGGGUGGCCAGCAGCGUGGCCUUUCACUGGCAAGGGCCACCUUUGUCAUCACUUAAGAAAUAAAACCUGCCAAGUUUUCUGUGAGGCUCUCAAUAAAUCUUACUGAG